GCAGACCAUUUUGCAGCAAAUGGCAGGGGUCUGCAGGUUCAGCCCCUGCAGCAGCUUGGCAGUGAGCACCUCUAGCAAAGUGAGGACACCGACCCCUCCAGCAGGGUAUACAGAAGUUAAUUCCCAAGACAUUGCUGAUAAUUGCUUAAUGUACUUGAACAGGUGGAAAUUAGGAACUCAACUUUUUGUCUGAUGGCAUUUGCAGAAAGAUCCCCUGCAAAUGUUCUCAGCCCGUGCUGCUGUUGCUACCACAUUAAUGAUGUGCAGCGCAGUGACUCCGAAAGGCACCGGUCAUAAAUCAGCUGCCGGCUGCGAGGGUAUCAGUGACCCUAGAAAAAUGUGCUCUGCUGGGGGACGGGGGAGGACACCAGAGAUAGCUGCUUGCUCUUUCUAGUCGAUUAGACGUCCAGAGCCCUACAAGUACAGCUGGCCUUGUCAUAUGCAGCAUGCCAAAGCCAAAGACGGCUGAGCGUGGAGAGCUGCUCUUAGCUCAUGAUGUGUGGUCCUGGUGCUGCAAGGGAUCUGUGAGUACGAGCUUCCUGAUCCCUGCAAGGGUACAUGAGGGAGGCCGAAGGCAUCUCAUAAUAGACACGGAGUUAUGUUGAACAUUUAGGUGCCUACGCACUUUUUUUUUUUUUGUAAUGUCUAUUUUGCAAAUCCCUACAACUCAAACAGGAAUUAAGGCAUUAAAAAGGGAAACCUUUUUAUAAGCAAAAAAGAAGGCAUCAGCAUAGCGUGAAAUAGAAAGAUAUUGUAAUGCAGACAGAGAGAAAACUCUUGUUUCCAAAAUAAAAUAAAAUAAAAUAAAAUACAUGCCAUAUAGCUACCAGAGCCCCAGCAGUGCAGUUGGUGUGGCUCAGUCUGAAAGAUCAGCCCAGCAUGGGAGUGGAGAUGAAAGCACCCAGAGGAGCCCCACGCACUUUCAUCCUGAGUUAUCACCGUGCAGCAGCAUUACAGCUGCGGAGGAAAAUAACCACCCCACGAUGAGUGUAAGGUUUGCCAAACUUAGGUGGGAGGACAGAGGAAAUGAGCACCCGUCAUGGAAAGACAGAAGACACUAGGACACUAAAUAUAUGACCAAGAACCGGAGAGCUUACAUGAGGGAAGGGAGGGCUGCAGGAAG
This 1123-nucleotide long non-coding RNA is filed under the name Cairina moschata (Muscovy duck). Its description in RNAcentral is "domestica (muscovy Duck (domestic type)) lncRNA (ENSCMMG00000010602.1)". The record is from RNAcentral. Lineage: Eukaryota; Metazoa; Chordata; Aves; Anseriformes; Anatidae.